This 736-nucleotide long non-coding RNA is filed under the name Daucus carota (carrot). RNAcentral describes it as "long non-coding RNA (DCAR_LNC002380)". Lineage: Eukaryota; Viridiplantae; Streptophyta; Magnoliopsida; Apiales; Apiaceae. The record is from RNAcentral.
UCGCUCUAGUACCACUUCCGUAGGUGAUCACGGUUGCAUUUAGCACAUGCAACAAGCCCUUUAAACCCCUAGAUAGCUCUAGUGGACGAGUGUGUUCUCGUGAGGGUUUGUAGAAGAUGUACCCACAAAAUCCCAAGUCGUGAUGAAUCCACAAUUCUCUAUUCUUGCAAAUAAUGCACCAAAAACAACCUAAAAUGAUAGAAAAUCACUUCAUCACCUCAACUCGUGACCUGCACAGAAAAACACUAAAAACACAUCAAAAGACACUAAACACUUAAGUACAACCAACCAAUUUAAGUGGAAAUGAAGGCCUAUAAGUGUGUAUAAAUACCACUUAUCACACCCCCAAACUUAAACUGAUGCUUGUCCUCAAGCGUCAACGACACUAUACAAUAAUACAAUGCAAUGCAUGAAUGCAACUACGUGAUGAAUGAGUAAACUAUGAAGUAAUUGCCUUGCCAAUUAUAAUACCUCAGAUUGUGCUAAUGUUCUCGAAUUUCACUUCUCUCGCUACUAAGUCAAUUACUCUUCUAUUUACAAGUGUGGAGUGUCCGUGUGUGCAAGCAUGCUCUUUUAUUGAGACAAGACAAAAACUACUACUCCCACAGAAUCCCAAUCAAGAAUCGUAAAAGUUUAAAACUAACACCCCGUCACUCAAGUCCAACUAAAAGCCAAGGUCCCAAAGAAUGUCCACACCCUUCUAUUUUAUUCACUAUUUUUUUUUUCUUUUUUUUUU